ACAUAUGAUAUGGCGGGAUAAUGUCUUACUGCAUGCUGACAGAAGUUUAGACGAAGACAUGUGGCAUUCAAAAUAUUCUCUCCACUCACCCACACGAAAGAAGAAGGUGUGAGAGACAUAUCUCCGAGUACCAGCGUUCUAGUAAUACAGGAAGUGUCAUAUUGUCAUUUUGGUGGGGGCCAAGUCAGAAGCAUCAGUGUAUGUUCGAUGCUUAUGUUGCCUCAAAGGAUAUGAUGGGGUGUGGUUCAUUUAACCUGAAAGAAUUUCUAUCAGGACAGCAGAUCACAUUAUAUUUUAGUUGCCUCUAUGCCAUUGAGAAGACGAUUAGCCAUGAUGACUAUAUAUGCGCAAAAUUAGAAAAUGAAAAAGAUUGUGUGUGCUUAUCUUGUCUAUUUUGUAAUAUAUGAUUCUAAAAUAAAGGUAUACCAUUUAUAAUAGGA
This is a long non-coding RNA of Ostrea edulis (European flat oyster), 440 nucleotides long. RefSeq lists it as uncharacterized. The transcript has 2 exons. The record is from RefSeq and is a predicted model, not a curated record. NCBI's taxonomy places the organism in Eukaryota, Metazoa, Mollusca, Bivalvia, Ostreida, Ostreidae.